Molecule: ribosomal RNA, 720 nt
Filed under: Rhizoctonia solani
Lineage: Eukaryota; Fungi; Basidiomycota; Agaricomycetes; Cantharellales; Ceratobasidiaceae
Description: eukaryotic LSU rRNA
Rfam family: 5.8S ribosomal RNA (bases 280-433)
Source: RNAcentral
UNAUUUGGAAGUAAAAGUCGUAACAAGGUUUCAGUAGCGUGAGACCUGCGGAAGGAAAAGCAGUGAAGAUUAUUAAAGAAGAGUAAAAUAGAUGCUGGCCUUUCUACCUUAAUUUGGCGGGACGCAUGUGCACACCUUCUCCUUCAUCCACUCACACCCCUGUGCACUUGUGAGACAGCAAUGGUGGUGGAUUUAAUUCCACCCAUUUGCUGUCUACUUAAUCUACACACACCCUAUUUAAUUUAAACUGAAUGUAAUUGAUGUAACACAUCUAAUACUAAGUUUCAACAACGGAUCUCUUGGCUCUCGCAUCGAUGAAGAACCCAGCGAAAUGCGAUAAGUAAUGUGAAUUCCAGAAUUCAGUCAAUCAUCGAAUCUUUGAACGCACCUUGCGCUCCUUGGUAUUCCUUGGACCACGCCUGUUUGAGUAUCAUGAAAUCUUCAAAGCAAACCUUUUGUUAAUUCAAUUGGUCUUUUUACUCUCGCUUCGGAGGAUAUCAUCGCACCCUCACACCUGCCCCUCUUUGUGCAUUAGCUGGAUCUCAGCGUUAUGCUUGCCCCCACUCCGCGUGAUAACUUAUCUAUCGCUGAAGACACCCGUAAAAAAGGUGGCCAAGGUAAAUGCAGAUGAACCGCUUCUAAUAAUCCAUUUACUUGGACAGUAUUAUAUUUUAUGAUCAUGAUCUCAAAUCAGCUGUGAGUGACAUACCCGUUCUGAAC